AAUUUGUGGAGUCCGGAGCCCACUAUAAAAAACGGGGCGAAAUUCUGAAAAGCCAAACGAGUAAGAGCAAA
This is a regulatory RNA element of Flavobacterium subsaxonicum, 71 nucleotides long. It matches the Rfam family "DUF805 RNA". The record is from Rfam. Lineage: Bacteria; Pseudomonadati; Bacteroidota; Flavobacteriia; Flavobacteriales; Flavobacteriaceae.